RNAcentral lists this ribosomal RNA (253 nucleotides) under uncultured bacterium. RNAcentral's name for it is "partial 16S ribosomal RNA". It matches the Rfam family "Bacterial small subunit ribosomal RNA", at positions 524 to 776 of the family's 1533-position model. The record is from RNAcentral.
UACGAAGGGGGCUAGCGUUGUUCGGAAUCACUGGGCGUAAAGCGCACGUAGGCUGAUUGGUCAGUUGGGGGUGAAAUCCCGGGGCUCAACCUCGGAACUGCCUUCAAUACUGCCAGUCUUGAGUCCGAGAGAGGUGAGUGGAAUUCCUAGUGUAGAGGUGAAAUUCGUAGAUAUUAGGAAGAACACCAGUGGCGAAGGCGGCUCACAGGCUCGGUACUGACGAUGAGGUGCGAAAGCGUGGGGAGCAAACAGG